Ailuropoda melanoleuca (giant panda) is the source of this 801-nucleotide long non-coding RNA. RefSeq lists it as uncharacterized. NCBI's taxonomy places the organism in Eukaryota, Metazoa, Chordata, Mammalia, Carnivora, Ursidae. The record is from RefSeq and is a predicted model, not a curated record. The transcript has 6 exons.
GUGCUUUGGACCAAAGAAACUCCGGAUCUAGAAGAGGAUACAGAGAGACACUGGGUUACUUCCACCUUUUGCCUACUGUGAAUAAUGCUGCUGUGAACACGGGUGUACAAAUAUCUCUUCUGAACAUCCUGCUUUCAAUUAUUUUGGACACGUACCCUGAAGUGGUGUUGCUGGAUCACAUGAGCUCACUCUACUCUCGAUGAGGACCUAGAAAGAUGGCUACACCCCCCUGAGUACAGCACGGAGCUCCAAGAUCUGCCUGAAGGCUCUACAAGGGAGGCAAAUAUCAAGGAUCAAGAAGCUGGUGAAAAGAAGAGAAAAGGGGAAGAAAGGAUCAAAUCAGAGAGGAGGAAAUCAGACAGCUUUUUAGGAACUUCUGAAGAAGAGGAACUAAAGCCCUGUUUUUGGAAGCGACUGGGUUGGUCUGAACCAUCCAGGAUAAUCGUGCUGGAUCAGAGUGACUUGUCAGACUGAUGGGAAUUGGAUCAUAGGUGGUCUCCUGGCCUGAGUGUGAGUGUCCUGCUUGUGAACUCCCGCCUCUCCUCAUCUGCUUCAGUCACCAGCAGGGCAGGGAUUCCGUAGCUCACACUUUGUGCGGCCACCACGGUAGACAGAACCACUGGCCCCGUCUGUUUGCAGCACAUUUAACAGUUUGGUUUUAGUUCAGAUUUCUGAAAAGUGAAAGGUAGCUUUUAUUGUAAGAUUUCUUCAUUGUUUGCAGAAUGGCUUUUGGUUUUGUUGUUUAAGAUUUUUGAAAACUUUAACUCCUGUUAUAUAAUAAAAUGUUUACUUUUAAUACCA